AAAAAGUGCAGUUAUGGUUUCCCGUGUCCAACGUUUGACCGUCCGUAUUACUUGAAAAAAAUAUGGUCAAUAUUUUUAUUGUUAUUAGAUGUUAAAACAUGAAUAGUAUUUUAUAUGUAACUAUUUUUUUUUAAAAAAACCAAAUAAAAUAGACGGUCACAACUGUAAUUAUAUUGGGUCGGAGUUAGU
Oryza glumipatula is the source of this 189-nucleotide non-coding RNA. The record is from Rfam. NCBI's taxonomy places the organism in Eukaryota, Viridiplantae, Streptophyta, Magnoliopsida, Poales, Poaceae.